Long non-coding RNA from Mercurialis annua (annual mercury), 2799 nucleotides. RefSeq lists it as uncharacterized. The transcript is spliced from 3 exons. Lineage: Eukaryota; Viridiplantae; Streptophyta; Magnoliopsida; Malpighiales; Euphorbiaceae. The record is from RefSeq and is a predicted model, not a curated record.
ACAGGUUUUUAUUUAACCCACCAUCGCUGGCUCUUCAAUCUUCUUCUUAUUUCAACCCCGUCUUCUUUGCCAGCACCGCCGUUCCUCCGAGCAGAAACCAGUGGUCGUCUUCUAGCUGACGUCUAUUUCUUUGAAUUAGCAUCGCUUGUUCGUCUACUGUUCCUCAUCGUUAGUUGUCGUUCCUCCUCGCUUCUGGUACUCUUCCCUUUGUUAUUUUUCUUUGGAAACGACGGUGGUGAUGGUGGUAAGUUGUAGGAGAAGGAAGGCUGGUUCAAUUUGUUUGAGUUAUGUUUUUAAUUUUGUUGAUUUUGUUGCUUGUGGUUUGUUGCUCUUAAUUUUGAGUUGUUGCUUUUGAUUUUUGUUGUUGCUGAGAUUCAUGGUGACGGAGGUGGCAUGGUUGUUGCUGGAAUUGACGAUGCAGCUGGUGCUGAAACGACGAACGAGUUGCUUGUUGCUAUAAUUGAAGAACAGAGAUAUUGACGAGAUAAAGAAGGUGAUUGGUGUGAUGAUGACAGUGAACCAAUGGAGAAGAAGUUAAUUAGAUUAGGGUUAAUCAGAUUUUAUUAAGUUUCUUUAAAUUCAAUUAAGAUAAAUUAGGGUUAAUUAAAAUUUUAAUUAAGCUUAUAAUUAGGGUUAAUUAGGCUUAAUCAGUGUUUGUUUAGGAUUAAAAUGUGUAAUUAGAGAUUCCCACUAUCUUCUUUGUGUGUUUUUGUGUCAGACGGGUGAUUUUGAUAUUUCGUGCCAAGUUGAGGGGGUUAGUUGAUCCUUUAUUCGAUUUAAAAUGGGAUUAUUUUAAAAUACAUGCUUUUGAAAUUUAGUUACAACAAUUUUGUCCUACUUUUGCAAUCUUCACUCGGUGCCCUGUUUUUUAAAACUAAUUUCAAAAAUGACCUAACUAACGGGAUGGCAGUUAAUGACGUUAGCCAUAAUUCAUCAAAAUAGAAAAAAUGAAAAUGGAAGAACAAAUUGCAAUUUUGAAAGCUAUCAAAUUCAAUCCCUAAUCCAAAUCAGAUUCAAUCCUAAAUUCAAAUUAAGAUUCAAGCCCAUGUUGUCGCUGAUUCCGUCGUAGUCGACGGUUCUGCUGUCAUCUUCCAAUGCUGAUGUCGAUGGCGUCCCUGUUUUCAGCGCUUCUGUUGUAGUUGUCCUUGUAGCCGUCAGUUCUGUUGUCAUCUGCCGUUUCUGCUAUCGAUCACUGUCGACGACCAAAAUCAGUGAAAUUAAUGAUGACCAUUUCAUUAGCAAUUGCAGAAAUUUGCCAGUAUUAAUUGGAAAAUAUGAGGUUAUCAACAAAUCUAUCUGAAGAAGAUACAUUAGCAGCUGCAUAAGUUCGUUCUAAAGUUGUGCAAGCUACUCAAAUUUGAUUGAAACUAGUUUGGAAAUCAAUUUUGUUUUGUAAGUUUCGAAACGUUGAGCUGGUUAGAGUAGUUUGUGUGAAUAAUUUUAAUUUAAUUUCGAUAUACUUUCGGUUUAAUUUUGUGGUGGUCGGUUUCAUCACGUAAUGAAAGAAGCAUAGUGUAGAGGAGUAAGUCUUUCUUUUGAUAUGGUAGAGGCUGCUAAGAGUGUAUGGAUUUGUGAGCUUAUCCUUCUUAGAUAUUUGGCGGUGAUUGCGGUGGUUGUGGUGGUUGCUGUUCCGAUGGAGGCCGAAGAAAAGAGUAGGCGGUUUUUCUAAAUCAGUGUUAAGAAGAAUUUGCGUCUUCUACAUGCUCUACCUGUUUAUUUAUGCUUUUUGCUUGUCCUUUUUCAACUAUUGCUACUCAACAGAUUCUAUUCCAGUUCAUGGAUAAGUAGAAUGAUCAACCUAUGCUAGUUUAUACCAAAAUUUCUUCAUUAGUGUACUUUUGAACAUUUAGAAUAUUGUUAUCAAAUUGUUAAGGAGCUAAAUAGAGUUCGAUUGAACAAGUUUUCUUUGCAUAAUCCUAUAGAAGUGCUUCUGUUUCAACUCUCAAGAGGGAGCUCAAUCCUGAAGCAUUAGCUGCUAUUAUUGAAGAACUCCGAAAAGAAGCGGAAGCCUCCUCCUCUCCGUCGUCAAUCUCUACUCACAACUCUUCAAUAAGCGCAGAUCUGGUGUUGGAAACUUGACAGGGCUGGAUGCUUCCUAGAAUUUUAGGUCUGCUACUAUAGGAGUUGACGGAACAGUUGUUGAUUUGAAUUUAAAUAUAAUGGUAGAUUCAACUAAUGCGAAAAAUGGGGGUUUUAAUCAGCGCCUACUUUUUCAUGAGCAACAUAUAUAUGGAAAGGAGAUAUUAUACUCGUGAUUCAACUAAAAAGAUAGUUUGUAAUAGCAAUUUUGAUUUGUAUAGCACACUGGCAGCUAAUUAGGUAAGCACUGUUUGGUUGUUGUUUUCUUUUAAUGUUCUCUUAAUGUUAUGCACAUCUGAUAUCCCUCGUAGACCUUACUUAUGUUAGAAAGCGUACACUGUAGUAACAAAUUGAUUUGCUUUUAAUGUUUUAGGGCAUUCAGUCAUUUAAUUUCUUGUCUUACCUAUUGGUAUACUAUUUACGUUGACAGUCAUUUAGAAUGCAUCAAAGGAUAUGUUUUCUUUAUUAGUUUAUAUACUAGAUGAUCAAACCAACAUUUGUUUUUGUCUUAGUUUAGGCAACCACAAGGCCAAAUGAUACUCCACAUUAGUAACGCCAGAACUUCAAAGAGGAAUUUGAAUAGCAGAGCACGAGAUGAGUUCAGAUGCUGAUUCUGCUGCUUCUUAGGUUUAUUCUAAUGUUACUACUUGGUUGUAAUGGAUUCAAUAUCAACUUGAAUAUAUGUUUUUCUUUUAUUAUAACCAUUUUUAUUUUCUUGAA